RNAcentral lists this ribosomal RNA (368 nucleotides) under uncultured cyanobacterium. RNAcentral's name for it is "bacterial SSU rRNA". It matches the Rfam family "Bacterial small subunit ribosomal RNA", at positions 355 to 737 of the family's 1533-position model. Lineage: Bacteria; Bacillati; Cyanobacteriota. The record is from RNAcentral.
UGGGGAAUUUUCCGCAAUGGGCGAAAGCCUGACGGAGCAAUACCGCGUGAGGGAGGAAGGCUCUUGGGUUGUAAACCUCUUUUCUCAGGGAAGAACAGAAUGACGGUACCUGAGGAAUAAGCAUCGGCUAACUCCGUGCCAGCAGCCGCGGUAAUACGGAGGAUGCAAGCGUUAUCCGGAAUGAUUGGGCGUAAAGGGUCCGCAGGUGGCAUUGUAAGUCUGCUGUUAAAGAGUUUGGCUCAACCAAAUAAGAGCAGUGGAAACUACAAAGCUAGAGUGUGGUCGGGGCAGAGGGAAUUCCUGGUGUAGCGGUGAAAUGCGUAGAUAUCAGGAAGAACACCAGUGGCGAAGGCGCUCUGCUAGGCCGA